RNAcentral lists this ribosomal RNA (418 nucleotides) under Escherichia coli. RNAcentral describes it as "bacterial SSU rRNA". It matches the Rfam family "Bacterial small subunit ribosomal RNA", at positions 770 to 1186 of the family's 1533-position model. Lineage: Bacteria; Pseudomonadati; Pseudomonadota; Gammaproteobacteria; Enterobacterales; Enterobacteriaceae. The record is from RNAcentral.
GAACCGGAUUAGAUACCCUGGUAGUCCAUGCCGUAAACGUUGGGCACUAGGUGUGGGGGACAUUCCACGUUUUCCGCGCCGUAGCUAACGCAUUAAGUGCCCCGCCUGGGGAGUACGGCCGCAAGGCUAAAACUCAAAGGAAUUGACGGGGGCCCGCACAAGCGGCGGAGCAUGCGGAUUAAUUCGAUGCAACGCGAAGAACCUUACCAAGGCUUGACAUGAACCGGUAAUACCUGGAAACAGGUGCCCCGCUUGCGGUCGGUUUACAGGUGGUACAUGGUUGUCGUCAGCUCGUGUCGUGAGAUGUUGGGUUAAGUCCCGCAACGAGCGCAACCCUCGUUCUAUGUUGCCAGCGCGUUAUGGCGGGGACUCAUAGGAGACUGCCGGGGUCAACUCGGAGGAAGGUGGGGAUGACGUG